CUUUGUUAUAGCAGCCCUAGGAAACUAAUACACACAUAGGAGCUUUUCCCUGCUUCAGCCUUAAAGACACAUGCCCUUUGUGCUCACAGUCCAUUGGCCAGAGGCAGUUCUGUGGCCCUACUGACCACAAAGGGACUGGGAAGAAUGCUCAGAAGAAGAUAAAUAGAUGUUGGAAACCAGAUGUCAUGAGCUUAACAGAAUCUGCAAUUACAUCUGACACCUUGAUGCCUUCCUUUCCUUUGGAACUUUCUUUCUUCUGUGGCAGCAGUCAGAAGCUUCCCCAAGGAGGGUGGAUGCUGAGAUAGUCUCUCCAUGCUCACUUGGAGGCCUCAGAUUCCAGAGAACAGAGCUACAAGACAGAAGAGGGUGGCCUGGUCUGCUUCAGACAUGUGAUGUGAAUGAGAAAGAAUCUUCUAAUGUCAGCGUCACAAAAGACAAAGCCUGUGGCAAUAUUUCAGAUUAAAAGAGGCAACUAAUUGCAGUAUUCACCCCUAGAAUGGAUCAUAUACGAGAAGGGGGAUAAUGCUACAAGAAACAUACUAAGAUCAACUGAUGAAAUUAAAAUAUGAAUAUGAGAGGAGAUUUUAAGAAGUAUUAGUGUUAUCUGUAAAGAUGACAAUUGUAACUAUAGUUACAUAGGAGACCUCUCUAUUCUUAGGGCAUAUACACCUAAGUAUUUAGGGACAAAGAACCACAUGUUAUGUAAGUUAAAUGCAAAUGGGGUAAAAUGUUAACAAUGAGUAAAUCUGGAUAAAAGAUAUUUGGAUGUUCCUUGUACUAUUUUUAGUUUUGCAACUUUUUGUAAGCUUGAAAUAAUUUCCAAAUUGUUAAAAAAUAAAAUGUU
Molecule: long non-coding RNA, 844 nt
Filed under: Canis lupus familiaris (dog)
Lineage: Eukaryota; Metazoa; Chordata; Mammalia; Carnivora; Canidae
Description: lncRNA (ENSCAFG00000053869.1, ENSCAFG00845002897.1)
Source: RNAcentral